RNAcentral lists this ribosomal RNA (128 nucleotides) under uncultured eukaryote. Its description in RNAcentral is "partial small subunit ribosomal RNA". It matches the Rfam family "Eukaryotic small subunit ribosomal RNA", at positions 1651 to 1788 of the family's 1831-position model. The record is from RNAcentral.
CCCUGCCAUUUGUACACACCGCCCGUCGCUCCUACCGAUUUCGAGUGAUCCUGUGAACCUUUUGGACCGCUGAUUCCUAUGUUUUGGCGGAAAAUCAAGUAAACAGUAUUACUUAGAGGAAGGAGAAG